This 470-nucleotide ribosomal RNA is filed under the name Cylindroleberis sp. korea3. RNAcentral's name for it is "partial large subunit ribosomal RNA". It matches the Rfam family "Bacterial large subunit ribosomal RNA", at positions 1924 to 2609 of the family's 2925-position model. The record is from RNAcentral. Lineage: Eukaryota; Metazoa; Arthropoda; Ostracoda; Myodocopida; Cylindroleberididae.
UAAACGGCUGCGGUAUCCUGACCGUACGAAGGUAGCAUAAUAAGUAGUUUUUUAAUUGGGGACUGGAAUGAAUGGUAUCAUGAGGAAGAGACUGUUUAGGCACAGGUAUUGAAUUUGAUUAUCAAGUUAAAAGGCUUGAGUGUGAUGAAGUGACAAGAAGACCCUAUGAGUUUUAGGAUUAAGUGAAGUAAGAUAUUUGUUAGUGUGUUGGUUGUGCUUUAAUAUAAUCUUUUGACUGGGGCGGUUGGAAAUAUAUCUUUUCUGGUUAUUACUAAAUUGGUAGGAAUGUUUGGAGUAAAUAUCCUAAUUGGAAAGCAUGAUAAAUUACCUUAGGGAUAACAGCAUAAUCUUUCUUGAGAGACCAUAUUGACAGAAAGGUUUGUGACCUCGAUGUUGGAUUUGAAUAACUAUAAGGAGCAGAAUUUUUAUAAGUUGGUUUGUUCAACCAUUAAAUUUCAACAUGAUUUGAG